CUAGAACUAACUAGAACUAGAACUAGAGGAACUAGAACUAGAACUAGAUGAACUAGAACUAGAUCUAGAUGAACUAGAAGUAGAACUAGAAGAACUAGAGGGAUCCUCUCUACUUGGAUGAAGAAUUGAAACCCUAACUUUGAUUCUGUAGAAGAGGUAUGCCUCCAGGGGCUGGUGGGGGUCUGGUUUUAUAGUCCCUUCAAGUGAAUCUGGGCCGUCGGAUCAAACCGACAUUGAUCGUGUGGUUUUCCUUGAAGUAUU
This 261-nucleotide long non-coding RNA is filed under the name Sorghum bicolor (sorghum). RNAcentral describes it as "long non-coding RNA (SBIC_LNC011915)". Lineage: Eukaryota; Viridiplantae; Streptophyta; Magnoliopsida; Poales; Poaceae. The record is from RNAcentral.